GCGUUGUCCGGAAUUAUUGGGCGUAAAGAGCUCGUAGGCGGUGUGUCGCGUCGGCCGUGAAAACCUGCAGCUUAACUGUGGGCUUGCGGUCGAUACGGGCAUCACUGGAGUUCGGCAGGGGAGACUGGAAUUCCUGGUGUAGCGGUGAAAUGCGCAGAUAUCAGGAGGAACACCGGUGGCGAAGGCGGGUCUCUGGACAGUUCCUGACACUGAGGCACGAAGGCCAGGGGAGCAAACGGG
RNAcentral lists this ribosomal RNA (240 nucleotides) under uncultured bacterium. RNAcentral's name for it is "partial 16S ribosomal RNA". It matches the Rfam family "Bacterial small subunit ribosomal RNA", at positions 538 to 776 of the family's 1533-position model. The record is from RNAcentral.